This 1204-nucleotide long non-coding RNA is filed under the name Anas platyrhynchos platyrhynchos (common mallard). RNAcentral describes it as "lncRNA (ENSAPLG00000017078.1)". The record is from RNAcentral. Lineage: Eukaryota; Metazoa; Chordata; Aves; Anseriformes; Anatidae.
AGGGGGGCGCGGAGGGGGCGCGGAAGGGGGGCGCGGAGGGGGCGCUGUCCGCGGUGCUGACUCUGCCCGCGGCCGGCGCGACGGCGACAGCGACGGCGACAGCGGCGACAGCGGCGGCUCCGACGGCUCCUCCCGCCGCCGCCCCGCCGAGGGCUAUUUAUUGGGGCCGCCCCGGCCGGCCACUCCUCCCGGCGCUGCCCUGCCCGCCCUGCGUGCGAAGGGGGGGCCGGGGUCUCCCCCCGGAGGGUGCCGCCCUCCCCUCGGCGUGGGGAGGGAGGGUUGGGGGCCGGCGGGUCCCCCCAAGUUAUUUUGGGGUCCUGAUGCUGAAGUGGUGGUCGUGGAUCUGCCGGCUGAGCCGUCGGGUUCCCGGCUGGGGAAGGGUGCUGGGUGUCAGCUCUGCGGGAUGGUCCCGUGCGAGGUGCUGGGGUCACCCCAUUUGUGAGUAAUCCGUCCCCAAACUGUGUCUGCAGGUAGCUCGGCAUGGGCUUCAUCUCUGCAGUGGGGCAGCCCUAUAAACUGAGGUUUCUCGGGGUAUUGAGAUAUCCAUAUCGAGACAGCACAGCAACGGGGUCAGUAAACUUAAAUAUAUGGCCCUAGCAGGUAACUUCAUGCCAACAGCACACUAUGAAACACCACCCUAGUAAGGUCACUCUUUUGCAGUGCAGGGGGGUGAGGGACACUGCCACUUCUGACUGGCCUAGAGUCUUUUUCUUUAGGGAGACCAUCUUCCAAGACUUGCCCUCCUAUAGUUGUAGGUUGGUGGGAGGGAGCAGAGCAGCUUGCCAAAGAUCUUCCUUCUGUUGCAGGGUGACAUGGAGUUGUACCUGUACUAAUUAUCAGGUCCUCAUUAGGAUGGCUGCAUGACCUCGGUACUCUGAAGCUCAGAAACUGCCUUUCUGCAAUGUUCCUCACGUGCUGCAUUGAGUUAGCAGGGUGUGAUGGCCAAGGUGAUCGGCUGCCAGAGCAUUGCCAAAUACAGGAGGAGCAGGUACCUGGCAGGGCCCUGGCCACGACAAGCGGAAGUGCAGUGAAUCGAGCCUGCACCUAUCCUUUGUGCUUGGAAAGACAACAGGGUGCUAGUGACGCAAGGACGCUGGAAGGAGACAAAGCUCCCUUCCUUCAAGGACCACAUGGAUGUCCAGCACAGACCUCUCAGCCUGGCAGCUCCUGCCAGCCCAGCAGCUCCCAGGGGCAGGGAGAAUGA